Molecule: long non-coding RNA, 273 nt
Organism: Carassius auratus (goldfish)
Lineage: Eukaryota; Metazoa; Chordata; Actinopteri; Cypriniformes; Cyprinidae
Exons: 4
Source: RefSeq, a predicted model, not a curated record
UAAUAUUUAAAUGAAGCACCUCUUCUGUUCUCAUUAACAGUGUAAAAAAAUGUAUAGCAAUGAUCUUCAGUCAACCUCAUCUCUUGCUAGAAGCAGAGAGAAGAGAGUCCUAGCCUUGUCUACUUUGUGACAUUGUUGUCUAUCUUCUGUGAAGUCACCCCUGGUAUUUGUCACCAGAUCACACCAAGCUAAGCCAGAGACCAACAGCUGACCCUGGACUUGCCAAUGGGCACUUAACUUCUACCAGGCCAUAGGGAGGGUCUUCAUUUGGGU